CCUACGGGGGGCUGCAGUGGGGAAUAUUGGACAAUGGGGGGAACCCUGAUCCAGCCAUGCCGCGUGUGUGAAGAAGGCCCUCGGGUUGUAAAGCACUUUCAGUGAGGAAGAACGCCUGGUGGUUAAUACCCAUCAGGAAAGACAUCACUCACAGAAGAAGCACCGGCUAACUCCGUGCCAGCAGCCGCGGUAAUACGGAGGGUGCGAGCGUUAAUCGGAAUUACUGGGCGUAAAGCGCGCGUAGGUGGCUUGAUAAGCCGGUUGUGAAAGCCCCGGGCUCAACCUGGGAACGGCAUCCGGAACUGUCAAGCUAGAGUGCAGGAGAGGAAGGUAGAAUUCCCGGUGUAGCGGUGAAAUGCGUAGAGAUCGGGAGGAAUACCAGUGGCGAAGGCGGCCUUCUGGACUGACACUGACACUGAGGUGCGAAAGCGUGGGUAGCAAACAGGAUUAGAUACCCCGGUAGUA
This 465-nucleotide ribosomal RNA is filed under the name Vreelandella stevensii. RNAcentral's name for it is "partial 16S ribosomal RNA". It matches the Rfam family "Bacterial small subunit ribosomal RNA", at positions 338 to 795 of the family's 1533-position model. The record is from RNAcentral. Lineage: Bacteria; Pseudomonadati; Pseudomonadota; Gammaproteobacteria; Oceanospirillales; Halomonadaceae.